UGGUUCUGGCAUCGAUGAAGAACGCAGCGAAAUGCGAUAAGUAGUGUGAAUUGCAGAAUUCAGUGAAUCAUCGAAUCUUUGAACGCACAUUGCGCCCUAUAGUAUUCUGUAGGGCAUGCCUGUUCGAGCGUCAUUUAACCCCUCAAGCUCAGCUUGGUAUUGGGUGCUUGUCCCGCCUCCUGCGCGGCGACUCACCUCAAAGUCAUUGGCAGCCCGCAAUCGCCGGCCGUGAGCGCAGCACAGACGCGCUUGUGGAAUCCGGCGGCUCGGCUCUCCAAAAGCUUAUUUCAACCACAAUUGACCUCGGAUCAGGUAGGGAUACCCGCUGA
Molecule: unclassified non-coding RNA, 329 nt
Filed under: uncultured fungus
Lineage: Eukaryota; Fungi
Description: partial contains 5.8S ribosomal RNA and internal transcribed spacer 2
Rfam family: 5.8S ribosomal RNA (bases 1-133)
Source: RNAcentral